RNAcentral lists this unclassified non-coding RNA (88 nucleotides) under Pseudomonas cedrina. The record is from RNAcentral. Lineage: Bacteria; Pseudomonadati; Pseudomonadota; Gammaproteobacteria; Pseudomonadales; Pseudomonadaceae.
UGUGGGAGCUGGCUUGCCUGCGAUAGCGGUGUGUCAGCCCCACAUUGCUCACUGAUACACCGCUAUCGCAGGCAAGCCAGCUCCCACA